AUUGAACGCUGGCGGCAGGCUUAACACAUGCAAGUCGAGCGAGCGGCGGACGGGUGAGUAAUGUCUGGGAAACUGCCUGAUGGAGGGGGAUAACUACUGGAAACGGUAGCUAAUACCGCAUACCAUCAGAUGUGCCCAGAGGGUAGUAGCUAGUCUGUGGGGUAAUGGCUCACCUAGGCGACGAUCCCUAGCUGGUCUGAGAGGAUGACCGGCCACACUGGAACUGAGACACGGUCCAAACUCCUACGGUAGGCAGAAGUGGGGAAUAUGGCACAAUGGGCGCAAGCCUGAGGCAGCCAUGCCGCGUGUGUGAAGAAGGCCUUCGGGUUGUAAAGCACUUUCAGCUAGGAGGCGUUACUCGCAGAAGAAGCACCGGCUAACUCCGUGCCAGCAGCCGCGGUAAUAC
RNAcentral lists this ribosomal RNA (406 nucleotides) under uncultured bacterium. Its description in RNAcentral is "partial 16S ribosomal RNA". It matches the Rfam family "Bacterial small subunit ribosomal RNA", at positions 30 to 526 of the family's 1533-position model. The record is from RNAcentral.